Long non-coding RNA from Lolium rigidum, 232 nucleotides. RefSeq lists it as uncharacterized. The transcript has 3 exons. The record is from RefSeq and is a predicted model, not a curated record. Lineage: Eukaryota; Viridiplantae; Streptophyta; Magnoliopsida; Poales; Poaceae.
AGGGAGUCCUGGAGGUCAUCGUCAACCAGAGAUUGCUAAUGUUUGGAGGCUAAAUUGAUUUUCCGCUCAAGCAGCUAGAGGUCUUCCUAGGAAACUGCAUUGGCAGAUGCAGAAGACUCCUGCAGGAUGAAAAAAUGGAUUUACUAGAAGGCAAACACGAUAGCGGCCAAGUUGCUUCUAUGUGUUGGUGAUAUUAGUCAUGGCCUUGAUGCUUGGAGGAUAUAUAACGAUC